Molecule: long non-coding RNA, 439 nt
Filed under: Gossypium barbadense (sea-island cotton)
Lineage: Eukaryota; Viridiplantae; Streptophyta; Magnoliopsida; Malvales; Malvaceae
Description: long non-coding RNA (GBAR_LNC023158)
Source: RNAcentral
GGUGCCAUGCCUUGGAUGUUCCUGGAUGUCGGAAUACAACAAAUUACUAAAUUUGCAAGAAGCAAGAUACAGACUCCAUGCUAUUGUCAUUUAUCCAUAUUAAUAACAUCAAUUCAAUUAGAAAAGCCCCAAAAAAUUUGAGAUUCCAAUUCAAGCUCAUAUAAUGAAUGACUGUGAUAAUAGCUAUUGAUAUAAUAUUUGAUGUUUAUACAUUAUUUUAGAUAGAAAGAAAGAAAGAAACUUGUAUAGGUGCUCUCCUCUUCUGAUGAAACUUGUAUAGGUGCUCUCCUCUACUGAUGAAAGUUGGAAAAGUGUGGGCCAUUAAACCAAGUUGCCAACUUCACAAACAAGUAAAGCCUCAUAGUAUAGCAAGAUAUUGCCACAAAUCUUUUUGCACUAAUAAACCUCUUGGUUGAUAGAAAAUAUUAUUCACAUUCAU